CCCUUAUUACCGCCUGGUCCAUUAGACCCAGGCUUGCUAGGCCCAGGAUAACCAGGAGGCCCAGGUGGGCCAGGUGGUCCCGUUGGUCCCUUAUUUCCACCCGGUCCUGCAGUACCUGGUUGCUCACCGGGGCUUUCACCCGGACCUUUAUUACCGCCGGGUCCUUCAGAUCCAGGUGUGCUAGGCCCUGGAGCACCAGGAGGCCCAGGAGGUCCUGUUGGUUCCUUAUUUUCACCCGGUCCUGAAGUACCCGGUUGCUUUCCGGGGCUUUCACCCGGACCCUUAUUACCGCCUGGUCCUUUAGAACCAGGGGUGCUAGGGCCAGGAGCACCAGGAGGUCCUGUUGGUCCUUUAUGACCACCGGGCCCUGAAGUGCCUGGUUGUUUACCAGGGCUUCCACCAGGAGCUUUACUACCUCCUGGUCCUUUAGAUCC
Papilio xuthus (Asian swallowtail) is the source of this 434-nucleotide long non-coding RNA. RefSeq lists it as uncharacterized. NCBI's taxonomy places the organism in Eukaryota, Metazoa, Arthropoda, Insecta, Lepidoptera, Papilionidae. The record is from RefSeq and is a predicted model, not a curated record. The transcript has 3 exons.